Molecule: long non-coding RNA, 476 nt
Filed under: Homo sapiens (human)
Lineage: Eukaryota; Metazoa; Chordata; Mammalia; Primates; Hominidae
Description: HSALNT0152744
Source: RNAcentral
CUGAAACCAAAGCCUCCUUUUAGCCACUGCCUCUCAUUGCCACUCCAGGGGAUGUCAACACAGCAUGCAGUGCUCUCUGGGGCCCCUCCCUGCUCUGAGCUUCUUGAUUCCAUACUUGCCUCGAACCACCUGUGAGUUGGGGGCAGAGCCUGUCCUGUCCACUCUCUUGUGGUCUUCUCAGGAACUUCCAAGAACUGCAUUCCAUUUUUUAAUUCCCAACCUGUUAAACUGCUCACCCAGCUGCCACCCCUGAUGAAAGGGACAUCAGUGAAAUCCUGGAGUAAUGGUCUGUGAUCUGGAGCUAGAAGACCUAACCAUGUGGUCUUGGGAAGGUCACCUCCCCUUUGUAAGCCUCAGUUUUCUCCUCUGCACAAUGGGCGUGGGAAUGCCUUGUAAGUGUAAAGCAUGGAACUCACAUUACCAUUGUCCUGCCGGGUGGUCAACCUGUCUCCCCUCUCUCACUGGGCAUCAGAGAA